RNAcentral lists this unclassified non-coding RNA (516 nucleotides) under Hevea brasiliensis (rubber tree). Lineage: Eukaryota; Viridiplantae; Streptophyta; Magnoliopsida; Malpighiales; Euphorbiaceae. The record is from RNAcentral.
AGAAAAAAAAAAAAAAAGGCCACUGCCUAGUUAAAGUGUUAAACUGUGUAUGGGAAAAACAUGAUUGCUGUUAGAGCUGCUAGAGCUAUUGUUGAGGAAAGCGCCUCCUAAUGUUAAAUAAAGAGCAUUAAAAUUAUUUUAAAGUUAAAUUUGAUAUGGUUUAGCAAUAAGAACUCCAAAUUAACUAAUCAGUUUCUUCUAAACUGCUUUUUUCAAUGGCAUCUAAAGUGAUGCUUUUCACUUAAGCAUUUUUUUCUAGCCUCCAACCUCAAUCCCAAAUAGGCCUUAGCUUUUUGAGAGAAGGCCAAGAUAAAUACUGCAAGGAUAAAUAACGUAGUGGUUAUGAUGCCCUCAGAAACUUGUAAGAGGACUAAAAUCUCUUAAUUGUAGAUGCAUUACUCAUAAAGGUUGACUAGAUAUGCUAUUACUGUGGAAUUGUCAUAUGUAUUUUAAUGUUUUAUAUCUCCUUCAAGUUUUUAUUGAGCCCUUUAUGUUCAUUUGCAGGAACAAGUCCAG